UUGAGGAAGCUCUGUAACUUCCGAUUGUACAGGAACCUCCUCUGGUUGCUUCAAUGGACUGAAAUCAAUGGAACAGUAACCGGAUCUUCAUCACUGGUAAUAGCUUGUGGUGGAUUGAUUUUUGAGAUGAUGCGAUCGAUUGUUGCAAUUGGUAUUUUACGUGGCCUACCCCUACCUCGACCUCUUCCUCUUGCCAUGGAAA
RNAcentral lists this long non-coding RNA (202 nucleotides) under Nicotiana benthamiana. Its description in RNAcentral is "long non-coding RNA (NBEN_LNC005843)". Lineage: Eukaryota; Viridiplantae; Streptophyta; Magnoliopsida; Solanales; Solanaceae. The record is from RNAcentral.